GCUGAGCCUCUCCUUGAGGGGGUAGUGGUGAUGGGGGGUGAUUUAAAUUGGACUCUCGACCCUCUUCAUGAUACCUCUAAGAAGUCUGCCCUUCGGCCGGAGAAGGAGUAUGGGAGAGUGCGACGCGCCCUGCUCGACCACCAGCUGAUUGACUCUUGGAGACUGACACACCCUUCUGAGGAGAUCGAGGAUAUCCUUGGACCCCCUGGCUCAUGACUCCUUACAGCACACCCAGGCCAGAACCACAGUCAGAGUUUAAUUCCGCGCUUACUGCCACUAGACAGCUGGUGGAGCGCACUAUUGGGGUCCUGAAGGGACGAUUCCGUGUGCUCCACCGCACUGGUGGCGACCUCAUGUAUUCACUGGAAAUGAUGAUGCUGUUGGAGGUCCCCAUGCUUUAAUAGGCCAAAGCCUGCACAGAAUGGAGGGACAUUGCAGGGGCCUCCUGGAGGAAAUCAAGUUUCUACGGAAUUUUUUUCAAAAAGUUUUAGUUACAUUUUGUUUUACAGUUAUGUUUGCUUUUGUUGAAAAAAAAAUACUGUUUACCCAAAAAAACAAACAAAACUUUGUUUACACUACAAAGGAGUUUGCUGUUGUGCUUUA
Molecule: long non-coding RNA, 603 nt
Organism: Pseudophryne corroboree (corroboree frog)
Lineage: Eukaryota; Metazoa; Chordata; Amphibia; Anura; Myobatrachidae
Exons: 3
Source: RefSeq, a predicted model, not a curated record